This 521-nucleotide ribosomal RNA is filed under the name uncultured bacterium. Its description in RNAcentral is "bacterial SSU rRNA". It matches the Rfam family "Archaeal small subunit ribosomal RNA", at positions 345 to 866 of the family's 1478-position model. The record is from RNAcentral.
AACCUCCGCAAUGUGAGAAAUCGCGACGGGGGGAUCCCAAGUGCCAUUCUUAACGGGAUGGCUUUUCAUUAGUGUAAAGAGCUUUUGGAAUAAGGGCUGGGCAAGACCGGUGCCAGCCGCCGCGGUAACACCGGCAGCUCUAGUGGUAGCAGUUUUUAUUGGGCCUAAAGCGUCCGUAGCCGGUUUAAUAAGUCUCUGGUGAAAUCCUGUAGCUUAACUGUGGGAAUUGCUGGAGAUACUAUUAGACUUGAGACCGGGAGAGGUUAGAGGUACUCCCAGGGUAGAGGUGAAAUUCUGUAACCCUGGGAGGACCGCCUGUUGCGAAGGCGUCUAACUGGAACGGUUCUGACGGUGAGGGACGAAAGUUAGGGGCGCGAACCGGAUUAGAUACCCGGGUAGUCCUAACUGUAAACGAUGCGGACUUGGUGUUGGGGUGGCUUUGAGCUGCUCCAGUGCCGAAGGGAAGCUGUUAAGUCCGCCGCCUGGGAAGUACGGUCGCAAGACUGAAACUUAAAGGAAUU